UCUCAGUGUGCAAAAGGAUAUGUCUGGAC
This 29-nucleotide non-coding RNA is filed under the name Mus musculus (house mouse). Lineage: Eukaryota; Metazoa; Chordata; Mammalia; Rodentia; Muridae. The record is from RNAcentral.